GCCCUGUGGUUGCUGGGGGCUGUUGUUCAGGUACAGCACUCCAGUGGGUACAAUGGGCCACAGCAAUCCUGUGAUUUUUGCAUGGCAUCUGUGUUUCCUCAGCAGCUGCCAUAGCCCGGUCACUGGUACAUGG
This is a small nucleolar RNA of Cavia porcellus (domestic guinea pig), 133 nucleotides long. Ensembl annotates it as small nucleolar RNA SNORA84. The record is from Ensembl. Lineage: Eukaryota; Metazoa; Chordata; Mammalia; Rodentia; Caviidae.